UCUACGGGUGGCAGCAGUGGGGAAUAUUGGACAAUGGGCGAAAGCCUGAUCCAGCCAUGCCGCGUGUGUGAAGAAGGCCUUCGGGUUGGAAAGCACUUUCAGUGGGGAAGAAAGCCUUGGGGCUAAUACCCUCGAGGAAGUACAUCACCCACAGAAGAAGCACCGGCUAACUCCGUGCCAGCAGCCGCGGUAAUACGGGGGUGCGAGCGUUAAUCGGAAUUACUGGGCGUAAAGCGCGCGUAGGCGGUCUGAUAAGCCGGUUGUGAAAGCCCCGGGCUCAACCUGGGAACGGCAUCCGGAACUGUCAGGCUAGAGUGCAGGAGAGGAAGGUAGAAUUCCCGGUGUAGCGGUGAAAUGCGUAGAGAUCGGGAGGAAUACCAGUGGCGAAGGCGGCCUUCUGGACUGACACUGACGCUGAGGUGCGAAAGCGUGGGUAGCAAACAGGAUUAGAUACCCCGGUAGUC
This 464-nucleotide ribosomal RNA is filed under the name Vreelandella stevensii. RNAcentral's name for it is "partial 16S ribosomal RNA". It matches the Rfam family "Bacterial small subunit ribosomal RNA", at positions 338 to 795 of the family's 1533-position model. The record is from RNAcentral. Lineage: Bacteria; Pseudomonadati; Pseudomonadota; Gammaproteobacteria; Oceanospirillales; Halomonadaceae.